AUACGUAGGUGGCAAGCGUUAUCCGGAUUUAUUGGGCGUAAAGCGAGCGCAGGCGGUUUUCUAAGUCUGAUGUGAAAGCCUUCGGCUUAACCGAAGAAGGGCAUCGGAAACUGGAUGACUUGAGUGCAGAAGAGGGCAGUGGAACUCCAUGUGUAGCGGUGGAAUGCGUAGAUAUAUGGAAGAACACCAGUGGCGAAGGCGGCUGCCUAGUCUGCAACUGACGCUGAGGCUCGAAAGCAUGGGUAGCGAACAGGAUUAGAUACCCUGGUAGUCCAUGCCGUAAACGAUGAGUGCUAGGUGUUGGAGGGUUUCCGCCCUUCAGUGCCGCAGCUAACGCAAUAAGCACUCCGCCUGGGGAGUACGACCGCAAGGUUGAA
This 377-nucleotide ribosomal RNA is filed under the name uncultured bacterium. RNAcentral's name for it is "bacterial SSU rRNA". It matches the Rfam family "Bacterial small subunit ribosomal RNA", at positions 523 to 898 of the family's 1533-position model. The record is from RNAcentral.